RNAcentral lists this small RNA (778 nucleotides) under Psilocybe allenii. RNAcentral's name for it is "eukaryotic LSU rRNA". The stretch from base 227 to 380 matches the Rfam family "5.8S ribosomal RNA". Lineage: Eukaryota; Fungi; Basidiomycota; Agaricomycetes; Agaricales; Agrocybaceae. The record is from RNAcentral.
GAUCAUUAUUGAAUAACUUUGGCGUGGUUGUAGCUGGUCCUCUCGGGGGCAUGUGCUCGCCCGUCAUCUUUAUAUCUCCACCUGUGCACCUUUUGUAGACGUUGGAACUGGAUAGGAGAGGGACUUGUCCUUCAAGUUGAAGGUUUUUUCGGCGCUCUACGUUUUCAUAUACCCCAAAGAAUGUAACAGAAUGUWUCUUAUGGCUUUAUGCCUAUAAACUAUAUACAACUUUCAGCAACGGAUCUCUUGGCUCUCGCAUCGAUGAAGAACGCAGCGAAAUGCGAUAAGUAAUGUGAAUUGCAGAAUUCAGUGAAUCAUCGAAUCUUUGAACGCACCUUGCGCUCCUUGGUAUUCCGAGGAGCAUGCCUGUUUGAGUGUCAUUAAAUUCUCAACCUUACCAGCUUUUGUUAGCUUGUGUAAUGGCUUGGACUUGGGGGUAUUUUGCCGGCUUCUCUUGAGAUGUCAGCUCCCCUUAAAUGCAUUAGCCGGCUGCCCGCUGUGGACCGUCUAUUGGUGUGAUAAUUAUCUACGCCGUGGACGUCUGCUCUCAAUGGGUUGAAGCUGCUUCUAACCGUCCGUUUAUUCGGACAGCACAUAAUGACAAUUUGACCUCAAAUCAGGUAGGACUACCCGCUGAACUUAAGCAUAUCAAUAAGCGGAGGAAAAGAAACUAACAAGGAUUCCCCUAGUAACUGCGAGUGAAGCGGGAAAAGCUCAAAUUUAAAAUCUGGCGGUCUUUGGCUGUCCGAGUUGUAAUCUAGAGAAGUGUUAUCCCCUG